GAAAAAAAAAUCCCAUCGGCACUGCAGUAACACUGCCUGUGAAAUGAACUCUGCUUACAGAGCCUGCGGGUCUUUUAAGCCAAAGCGAUGGAACCAAUAGCAUCGCUGUGUUGAUGUGUCGGCGAAGUACAGAUACUCAUUUAUUUGGCUGCACCAGGUCUUAGGAUGUAGGCAUGCAGGAUAUAAUUCCCUGCCUAAGGAUUGAGCCCAGGACGCCUGCAUUGGGAGUGUGGGGUCAAAGCGACUAGACCACCGCUGACGUUCCCCAGUCCUCCAUUCUUACACAUCCAUUAAAAUUAGUGAGACUUCCUUCUGUUUCAUCAUAAAGCUUUUUCCUCCACAAUAACCGUAUUUAUGGCCACUAGAUCCAUCAUUUUGAAAUGAAAUAAAAACAGAUCAUUUUGGAGAAUAUUCCAAAGAACGGAGACAUGACCCUGUUAACCUCGGAGACUGUGCUGGAGGGGGGUUGGGUAUGAAGGGUUUUGAGCGGCUGUGAAAACCCAAGCUAUGUGGACGAUGGCUUUAAUUCUCCAGAGGGGUUUGCGACGGCAGCCUCUGGCUACAGGAGGGUUGGACCAGGUAUGACUGGCUUCUGGAGGGUGCUCCAGCAGAGAGUGAUGGAGUCACAAAGCCAGCCGCUGGUGAAACCUCAUGCCCAAGGAGAGCUCACGGAGACAUCAAUGAGCUGCGUUUUCAGAGACAAACCGAAUUCCCUCAAAGUGAGCAUCAGCCUUUUGUAGGUUCUCCCUUAUCAUCAAUGGGACCAUCGAGCUUCUAACCUGGAGAGGCCUCUCAGUGGAGACC
Long non-coding RNA from Cervus elaphus (red deer), 804 nucleotides. RefSeq lists it as uncharacterized. Lineage: Eukaryota; Metazoa; Chordata; Mammalia; Artiodactyla; Cervidae. The transcript has 3 exons. The record is from RefSeq and is a predicted model, not a curated record.